AUUCCAUGAUGGGGACAAUCUAGGAUGUAGUCUUGGAAGCGCUCCCAUGCUUCUGUAACAGAUUCAUCAUUUUGUUGUUGAAAACUUGUAAUCUUUCCAUGAAGAGC
Small nucleolar RNA from Sorghum bicolor (sorghum), 107 nucleotides. It matches the Rfam family "Plant small nucleolar RNA R71". From Rfam's summary of the family: R71 is a member of the C/D box family of snoRNAs containing the C (UGAUGA) and D (CUGA) box motifs. Multiple nearly identical copies of this snoRNA have been identified in Arabidopsis, and it is thought to function as a 2'-O-ribose methylation guide for 18S ribosomal RNA. Lineage: Eukaryota; Viridiplantae; Streptophyta; Magnoliopsida; Poales; Poaceae. The record is from Rfam.